UGGGGAAUAUUGCACAAUGGGCGCAAGCCUGAUGCAGCCAUGCCGCGUGUAUGAAGAAGGCCUUCGGGUUGUAAAGUACUUUCAGUCGGGAGGAAGGUGGUAAGGUUAAUAACCUUAUCAAUUGACGUUACCGACAGAAGAAGCACCGGCUAACUCCGUGCCAGCAGCCGCGGUAAUACGGAGGGUGCAAGCGUUAAUCGGAAUUACUGGGCGUAAAGCGCACGCAGGCGGUUGAUUGAGUCAGAUGUGAAAUCCCCGGGCUUAACCCGGGAAUUGCAUCUGAUACUGGUCAGCUAGAGUCUUGAAGGGGGGGUAGAAUUCCAUGUGUAGCGGUGAAAUGCGUAGAGAUGUGGAGGAAUACCGGUGGCGAAGGCGGCCCCCUGGACAAAGACUGACGCUCAGGUGCGAAAGCGUGGGGAGCAAACAGG
This 428-nucleotide ribosomal RNA is filed under the name Chloroflexota bacterium. RNAcentral's name for it is "Chloroflexi bacterium partial 16S ribosomal RNA". It matches the Rfam family "Bacterial small subunit ribosomal RNA", at positions 355 to 776 of the family's 1533-position model. Lineage: Bacteria; Bacillati; Chloroflexota. The record is from RNAcentral.